CCUACGGGCGGCAGCAGUGAGGAAUAUUGGUCAAUGGCCGUAAGGCUGAACCAGCCAAGUCGCGUGAAGGAAGAAGGAUCUAUGGUUUGUAAACUUCUUUUAUAGGGGAAUAAAGGUAUCCACGUGUGGAUAUUUGCAUGUACCCUAUGAAUAAGCAUCGGCUAACUCCGUGCCAGCAGCCGCGGUAAUACGGAGGAUGCGAGCGUUAUCCGGAUUUAUUGGGUUUAAAGGGUGCGUAGGUUGGUUUUUAAGUCAGCGGUGAAAGUUUGGGGCUCAACCAUAAAAUUGCCGUUGAAACUGGAAGACUUGAGUGUGUUUGAGGUAGGCGGAAUGCGUGGUGUAGCGGUGAAAUGCAUAGAUAUCACGCAGAACACCGAUUGCGAAGGCAGCUUACUAAGCCAUAACUGACACUGAAGCACGAAAGUGUGGGUAUCAAACAGGAUUAGAUACCCUAGUAGUC
RNAcentral lists this ribosomal RNA (460 nucleotides) under uncultured bacterium. Its description in RNAcentral is "partial 16S ribosomal RNA". It matches the Rfam family "Bacterial small subunit ribosomal RNA", at positions 338 to 795 of the family's 1533-position model. The record is from RNAcentral.